GUUGAUACAGUGGAAGGCUUGUGGUGUUGCUGGCCCUUGAUCGCUGGAAGGAUUCCGAGCCAUCUGCACCCAAACCAGAUGCCAAAAUAACCAGGGAAGCCCAAGAGUGACGGGGCCCAAGACCUUCCGCUACACCUCCCGUCGGACAACUAGCCAUAUCUUCUGAGAAGCCUCAGAUAACCCUUGACAUGACAGGAAAAGGACAACAACCUGUGUGGGUUCCCUCCCGACAACUGAAAUUGCACCAUAACUCCCAAGAAGAAACACUCCCAGAAACAAAAGGCAAAGACCCCUCUGAAACCAAAGAGCAAGUAUCACCGCCUGACACAUAAACUUCAUGACCUCGACAUUGAGACAAAAUCUCGCCGUGUGACCUACAACACCACUCAUUUAACUCCACCAACUUGGGGUCAAAUAAAGGUCUUAUCCCAUCAACAGAAAAAUCAUUAAGAGAAAAAUGAAUCCCCAAAACGACAGUCUGCAGAUCCCGCAAGGAAUCCGAAGACAAGUCCAAAGUCAACGACAAGCAAUGAUGGCAAUGGUGAUCCUAGUUAAUAAAAAGCGGGGAGAUGUGGGUGGCAAGCCACCCAGGUGCCGAGGCAAGAGACCGAGAGCACGAGCUGUUCCAGUGUAAUAAAAUAUAUAAAAUAACAAGAGUUAUACUGAUAUAGCUCAUAGAUAUGAUUAUAUAUAAAUACCAUUAAUCAUUAGUUUGUAGUAAUUACUCUUUAUUCAAAUAUUAUAAUAAUCCUCACUCUACAAUCAUAACCUAGAAAAAGGCAGGCCAUGCAGAGAUAGGAGCUGAGGGGACAUGGUGAGAAGUGACAAGAAGACAAGAGUGUGAGCCUUUUGUUAUGCCCAGGCAGGGCCACCAGAGGGCUCCUUGGUCUAGCAGUAAUGCCAGCGUCUGGGAAGAUGCCCGUACCAAGCGGACCAUGGUCUAGUGGUAGCGUCAGUGCCAAGGAAAAGCACCUGCUACUGAGCAGACCAGGAAAGGGAGUCUCCCUUUCCCCAGGGGAGUUUAGAGAAGACUCUACUCCACCAUCUCUUAUGGAGGGCCUGACAUAAGUCAGGCCUGCCUGCAGUUAUCCAGAGGCCUGACCGUCUCCCUGUGAUGCUGUGCUUCAGUAGUCAUGCUCCUGGUCUGCUUUCAUGUUCCAUCCUGUACACCUGGCUCUGCCUUCUAGAUAGCAAUAGCAGAAUUACUGAAAGUAUUAAAAGUCUCUGAAAUGCAGAAAUAAUGGUGUAAGCUGUCUCUCCUCUCUCUCCGCCUCGGCUGCCAAACAGGGAAAGGCUCCCUUUCCAGUGGAUGCAUGACCCACGUGACCUUACCUAUCAUUGGAGAUGGCUAACACUCC
This 1358-nucleotide long non-coding RNA is filed under the name Homo sapiens (human). RNAcentral's name for it is "HSALNT0240978". The record is from RNAcentral. Lineage: Eukaryota; Metazoa; Chordata; Mammalia; Primates; Hominidae.